RNAcentral lists this unclassified non-coding RNA (247 nucleotides) under Hevea brasiliensis (rubber tree). Lineage: Eukaryota; Viridiplantae; Streptophyta; Magnoliopsida; Malpighiales; Euphorbiaceae. The record is from RNAcentral.
GAUUAAUUUAUGAAAGUAAAGGACGUAUAUUAAGUUAGUAAAAUAAAGGAAAUUAUAACGGGUAAGCAUGUAAUUAACAUUAAUUUAAUAAGAAAAAAACUUUUAUGAGUUUUUGUGAUGUAGUUGAAUUAAGAUAGGAAUUACUUUUGAGUCUGAAUGGUCUUAAGAGUGUAUUACAGAUCUGAUUAACUCAGAUGUAUUCAGACUCGUUAAGAGACUUCUAAGAAAAUAAAACAAACAAACUUAA